CAGUGUUGCAAUCUCCACUCACUGCAAGCUCCGCCCCCCAGGUUCACACCAUUCUCCUGCCUCAGCCUCCCUAGUAGCUGGGACUACAGGCACACAUCACCACGGGCAGCUAAUUUUUUUUUGUAUUUUUAGUAGAGAUGGGGUUUCACCAUGUUUGCCAGGCUGGUCUCGAUUUCCUGACCUCGUGAUCCACCCACCUUGGCCUCCCAAAGUGCUGGGAUUACAGGCAUGAGCCACCGCGCCAGCCAUUUUUGUAUUUUUUUUUGAAGAGAUGAGGUUUCACCAUGUUGGCCAGGCUGGUCUCAAUCUCCUGACCUCAUGAUCCACCCUCCUUGGCCUCCCAAAGUGCUGGGAUGACAGGCAUGGCCACCGCGCCCAGCCAAGGUGCAUUCUUUUUGCACUCGGUGGGGAGGGUCUGAUUCUAGGCACUUCCCCAACAGUAGGGAACAGAAUUAUUGUGGUUGAAUAGACCAAUUGUGUUCCAUCUACUGAGACUGGCACACUGCCCCUGAAAUCAAGUGGGAUCUCAUUACCAAAGGCAAAAUGAGGAACUGUGUAUCAGUUAGCCUUUGCUGUGUAACAAACCAUCCCAAAAUCUGGCCAGGUCAUGUAUUUGUCCACAAUUCUGUGGGUUGGCAAUCUGCGCUGGGCUCACCUGGGGACCCUCAUGGAGCUGUAGUCAGCUGUCACAUCAGCUGCACCUGGAUGGGCUAGGACAGCCUGACUCACUUGUCUGGCAGGCAACAGGUUGUUGGUCGGGGUGACCUGGUUCUCUUCCAUGUGGCCUGUCUAGCAGGCUGCUUCAGCCUUAGGGCUCCAGGAGAGUGAGAGUGGAAGCUGCAAGAUUUCUUGGGUUCUGGGCCUGGAACUGGGGCUGGGACGUCGAUUCUGCUAAGUUCUUUUGAUCAGAACAAAUCAGAAGGCUUUGCCCUGAUUCAAGGGAUGAGAAAGAGACCACGUCUUGAUGAGAGGAACCACAAAGACUGUGUGGCCAUUUUUCAACCUAAUGCAAAUAACUUUGGGUGGGGAAAUAACCAUAUUUCUGUCUCUCUUAGGGGACCUCACUCUGCCUAGUCUGAAGGUAAAGACACUGUCCUGGCCCUCGGGGUCUGGGGGAAGAGGUGUUGAGGCCGGGUGAGGCCUCUCCAAGGCUGGAUCCACUACAGUAGGGGCACCUUGUUUUCUGCACUGGUGGGAUGGGGUUUUACUGGGCGGGACGUUCCAGAGGGGCUUCUGAAAGCCAAGAGUCCUGGGGGAAAGGGAGGGGUGGAGAAA
This 1275-nucleotide long non-coding RNA is filed under the name Macaca fascicularis (crab-eating macaque). RNAcentral describes it as "lncRNA (ENSMFAG00000059198.1)". The record is from RNAcentral. Lineage: Eukaryota; Metazoa; Chordata; Mammalia; Primates; Cercopithecidae.